Molecule: ribosomal RNA, 301 nt
Filed under: uncultured bacterium
Lineage: Bacteria
Description: partial 16S ribosomal RNA
Rfam family: Bacterial small subunit ribosomal RNA
Source: RNAcentral
CAGCCGCCACGGGAAUACGGAGGGAGCUAGCGUUGUUCGGAAUUACUGGGCGUAAAGGGCGCGUAGGCGGCCAUUCAAGUUAGAUGUGAAAGCCCUGGGCUCAACCUAGGAAUUGCAUUUGAUACUGUUUGGCUUGAGUUCGGGAGAGGUGAGUGGAAUUCCCAGUGUAGAGGUGAAAUUCGUAGAUAUUGGGAAGAACACCAGUGGCGAAGGCGGCUCACUGGACCGACACUGACGCUGAGGCGCGAAAGCGUGGGGAGCAAACAGGAUUAGAUACCCCGGUAGUCCCUGUCUCUUAUAC